This is a long non-coding RNA of Mercenaria mercenaria, 445 nucleotides long. RefSeq lists it as uncharacterized. The transcript is spliced from 4 exons. The record is from RefSeq and is a predicted model, not a curated record. NCBI's taxonomy places the organism in Eukaryota, Metazoa, Mollusca, Bivalvia, Venerida, Veneridae.
AUUUACAAAGCUGGCAUAACAUGAAAAGUUUAACUGAAACAUGUCCUGCUCUGUUUAUCUUAGAAAGUGGAGUAAAUAUGGUGGAUUUGUGAUUAUUGGUUUAAUAUGCUCGUGAAACCCGUGCUAUCAGAGAAUGCGGUGUGCUUAAGCUGUGACAGAGUACCAUAUCCUCGGGAUUGUGACCGCAUUGUACAGUGUGGAGAUCAUGAGUCAUGCUAUACUGAACAAAUGGUUUCUUCUAGAACAGGAACCGUGUAUUACAACUCUGGCUGCCUUUCUAAACAGCAAUGUACACACGCAAAGAAGCGUAAUGUUGUUUCACUGGCACGCAAAACAGACGAUUUCAAACGGAAUCAACCAGCUACGUCCGAUUUUCUAACAUGCAUAGGAUGUUGUAAUUCGUCUAACUACUGCAACAGGAAUAUGUGUGUGCCAUCCUCACCAG